RNAcentral lists this ribosomal RNA (584 nucleotides) under Clostridium sporogenes. RNAcentral describes it as "bacterial LSU rRNA". It matches the Rfam family "Bacterial large subunit ribosomal RNA", at positions 1 to 589 of the family's 2925-position model. The record is from RNAcentral. Lineage: Bacteria; Bacillati; Bacillota; Clostridia; Eubacteriales; Clostridiaceae.
AGGUCAAGCUACAAAGGGCGCAUGGUGAAUGCCUUGGCACUAGGAGCCGAAGAAGGACGCGAUAAGCUGCGAUAAGCCUUGGGUAGCCGCAAAUAGGCUGAGAUCCAGGGAUUUCCGAAUGAGGAAACUCACAUGGGUAACCCCAUGUAUCAUGCACUGAAUACAUAGGUGUAUGAGGGUAAACCCGGGGAACUGAAACAUCUAAGUACCCGGAGGAAGAGAAAGAAAAAUCGAUUUCCUAAGUAGCGGCGAGCGAACGGGAAAGAGCCCAAACCAGAAACUUGUUUCUGGGGUUGCGGAUAGAUCAUAAAAGAAGAGGUAUCUUAAUCGAAGAGGGCUGGAACGCCCUACCAUAGAAGGUAAUAGUCCUGUAGGUAAAAAGAGAAAACUUCGAGAUCUAAUCCAGAGUACCACGAGACACGUGAAACCUUGUGGGAAGCAGGGAGGACCACCUCCCAAGGCUAAAUACUACCUAGUGACCGAUAGUGAAGCAGUACCGUGAGGGAAAGGUGAAAAGAACCCCGGAAGGGGAGUGAAAUAGAACCUGAAACCGUGUGCCUACAACCGAUCGGAGCACGUUAAAG